RNAcentral lists this ribosomal RNA (422 nucleotides) under uncultured Actinomycetes bacterium. RNAcentral's name for it is "bacterial SSU rRNA". It matches the Rfam family "Bacterial small subunit ribosomal RNA", at positions 233 to 671 of the family's 1533-position model. Lineage: Bacteria; Bacillati; Actinomycetota; Actinomycetes. The record is from RNAcentral.
GCGGCCUAUCAGCUUGUUGGUGAGGUAACGGCUCACCAAGGCUACGACGGGUAGCUGGUCUGAGAGGAUGAUCAGCCACACUGGGACUGAGACACGGCCCAGACUCCUACGGGAGGCAGCAGUGGGGAAUCUUGUGCAAUGGACGAAAGUCUGACACAGCCACGCCGCGUGCGGGAAGAAGGCCUUCGGGUUGUAAACCGCUUUCAGCAGGAACGAAAAUGACGGUACCUGCAGAAGAAGGAGCGGCCAACUACGUGCCAGCAGCCGCGGUGACACGUAGGCUCCAAGCGUUGUCCGGAUUUAUUGGGCGUAAAGAGCUCGUAGGCGGUUCAGCAAGUCGGGUGUGAAAACUCUGGGCUCAACCCAGAGCCUGCACCCGAAACUGCUGUGACUAGAGUUCGGUAGGGGAGACUGGAAUUCCU